Molecule: long non-coding RNA, 601 nt
Filed under: Arachis ipaensis
Lineage: Eukaryota; Viridiplantae; Streptophyta; Magnoliopsida; Fabales; Fabaceae
Description: long non-coding RNA (AIPA_LNC000854)
Source: RNAcentral
CAAAUCUUGUAAUCUUUUCUUCUUCUCUUCUUCGAAACGACAUCGUUUUUUAAUCAGAUACAUCUCUCCCAAAUUUUUUAGUUGCCUAGACACCAAAAAAGAUAUAUAUAUAUAUAUCCAAAAGACAUUCGUUUGAAGCAUAAAAUACAAACUAUCAAACACAAACAAAAACCUUACUAUUGUAGCUGGUGAAUAGUCAUAGGCUCAUAGCUCCAAUCUAUUCGCCAGCUUCAGGGGUAGAAAAUAAAGAAAUACAUUAAUUAAAGACUGAUGGCAUAAGUUUAAAGUUCAUUAGCUUUUGAUGAAUAAGUAGAUUCUUGUUGCGCUUCUGAAUCACCAAAGCAUGGUACUUGUUAGUCUUAUUAGCUUCAUCUUUUGCCAGCAGCAUGAGGUCGAACAAGUAUGAUUCAGUUUCUUUUGCGAAACUUAAUUCUCUGCAACCAAGGAUCUUUACUAGCCUCAGUUUCACGUUAUGCUGCCAACUGUUAUACUCAUUGAUAGCAGACAUCGCCAUAUACCUCACGGUAGGGCUCUUGACGUCCACAGUUAAUGGAAGAUUGACACUUAAAAUAAGUGAUGCUGACUCUGGCCUGCUGAAGGC